Molecule: transfer RNA, 72 nt
Filed under: Camelus bactrianus (Bactrian camel)
Lineage: Eukaryota; Metazoa; Chordata; Mammalia; Artiodactyla; Camelidae
Also listed under: 1 other name
Rfam family: tRNA
About the family: Transfer RNA (tRNA) molecules are approximately 80 nucleotides in length. Their secondary structure includes four short double-helical elements and three loops (D, anti-codon, and T loops).
Source: Rfam by way of RNAcentral
GCAGGCAUAGCUCAGUGGUAAAGUGCAUGUUUGGUGUGCAUGAGGUCCUGAGUUCAAUACCCACUGCCUCUG